CUUGAGUUGUUGCUGGCUCCUUGGAGCAUGUGCACACUUCAUGAUGACAACCACCUGUGCACCUUUUGUAGAUUGUUCGAGCUCAAUUUCAGAGGAAACUCUGGUUUGGGUGCUGCUAUAGCACCUGUGGGCUCUGCAUGAUCUAUGCUUUUUUACAAACACCUUAAUGUAUGUCAAUGAAUGUGGUCUAAUAAACCUAAUACAACUUUCAACAACGGAUCUCUUGGCUCUCGCAUCGAUGAAGAACGCAGCGAAAUGCGAUAAGUAAUGUGAAUUGCAGAAUUCAGUGAAUCAUCGAAUCUUUGAACGCACCUUGCGCCCCUUGGUAUUCCGAGGGGCAUGCCUGUUUGAGUGUCAUUAAAUUCUCAACCCCAACAUGUUUGGGGCUUGGAUUGCUGGGGGUUUGCUGGCUUUCACAAGUCGGCUCCUCUUAAAUGCAUUAGCAAGACCUUUUGUCUCAGCCUUUGGGUGUGAUAAACAUCUACGCCUGGCAUGAAUGAGAUAGGAAGUCUGGCUCUCUAAUCGUCCUUUUCAAGGACAAUUCAUUGACCAUUUGACCUCAAAUCAGGUAGGACUACCGCUGAACUUAAGCAUAUCAUAA
This 601-nucleotide ribosomal RNA is filed under the name Pleurotus rattenburyi. RNAcentral's name for it is "eukaryotic LSU rRNA". The stretch from base 204 to 357 matches the Rfam family "5.8S ribosomal RNA". Lineage: Eukaryota; Fungi; Basidiomycota; Agaricomycetes; Agaricales; Pleurotaceae. The record is from RNAcentral.